This 453-nucleotide ribosomal RNA is filed under the name Pandora glacialis. RNAcentral describes it as "SSU rRNA". It matches the Rfam family "Eukaryotic small subunit ribosomal RNA", at positions 561 to 933 of the family's 1831-position model. The record is from RNAcentral. Lineage: Eukaryota; Metazoa; Mollusca; Bivalvia; Pandoridae.
CUGGUGCCAGCAGCCGCGGUAAUUCCAGCUCCAAUAGCGUAUAUUAAAGUUGUUGCGGUUAAAAAGCUCGUAGUUGGAUCUCGGGGACAGGCUUGCGGUCCGCCUCGCGGCGGUUUUUUACUGCUCGCUCCUGUACUCCACGAGCUGGUUGGGCGCUGUCGCCGGCCGAUGGGAGGGCUGGCAACGGUUCACCUGUCGGUGUCUCUAGGCGGGCGCUUCCUUUAAGCCCUUGGUGCUCUUCGCUGAGUGUCUCGGGUGGCCAGUGCGUUUACUUUGAAAAAAUUAGAGUGUUCAAAGCAGGCCCAGUCGCCUGCAUAAUGUUGCAUGGAAUGAUGGAAUAGGACCUCGGCUCCCCUAUUUUGUUGGUUUCCGAAGCUCGAGGUAAUGAUUAAGAGGGAUUGCCGGGGGCAUUCGUAUUGCGGUGUUAGAGGUGAAAUUCUUGGAUCACCGCAA